UACAUGGGGUGCAAACGUUGCUCGGAAUCAUUGGGCGUAAAGCGCGCGUAGGCGGCCCGGUAAGUCCGUUGUGAAAGUCAAAGGCUCAACCUUUGAACGCCGAUGGAUACUGCCGGGCUAGAGUCCGGAAGAGGCGAGUGGAAUUCCUGGUGUAGCGGUGGAAUGCGCAGAUAUCAGGAGGAACACCAAUAGCGAAGGCAGCUCGCUGGGACGGUACUGACGCUGAGGCGCGAAAGCGUGGGGAGCGAACAGG
This 253-nucleotide ribosomal RNA is filed under the name uncultured bacterium. Its description in RNAcentral is "partial 16S ribosomal RNA". It matches the Rfam family "Bacterial small subunit ribosomal RNA", at positions 524 to 776 of the family's 1533-position model. The record is from RNAcentral.